GACGCAAGCUUUCUUCUUUCUUAACACAUGCAAGUCGAACGGUGAACCUCUUCGGAGGGGCUCAGUGGCGAACGGGUGAGUAACACGUGGGCAACCUGCCCCCGGCUCUGGGAUAACUCCAAGAAAUUGGGGCUAAUACCGGAUGUUCACCGCUUCCCGCAUGGGUGGUGGUGGAAAGGGUUUCCGGCUGGGGAUGGGCCCGCGGCCUAUCAGCUUGUUGGUGGGGUAGUGGCCUACCAAGGCGACGACGGGUAGCCGGCCUGAGAGGGUGACCGGCCACACUGGGACUGAGACACGGCCCAGACUCCUACGGGAGGCAGCAGUGGGGAAUAUUGCGCAAUGGGCGGAAGCCUGACGCAGCGACGCCGCGUGGGGGAUGACGGCCUUCGGGUUGUAAACCUCUUUCAGCAGGGACGAAGCGCAAGUGACGGUACCUGCAGAAGAAGCACCGGCCAACUACGUG
RNAcentral lists this ribosomal RNA (463 nucleotides) under uncultured bacterium. RNAcentral's name for it is "partial 16S ribosomal RNA". It matches the Rfam family "Bacterial small subunit ribosomal RNA", at positions 28 to 507 of the family's 1533-position model. The record is from RNAcentral.